This 288-nucleotide small nuclear RNA is filed under the name Octodon degus (degu). RNAcentral describes it as "7SK RNA (ENSODEG00000023100.1)". It matches the Rfam family "7SK RNA". Rfam says of the family: 7SK was discovered as an abundant small nuclear RNA in the mid-70s but a possible function has only recently been suggested. Two independent studies have found that 7SK RNA binds the CDK9/cyclin T complex (known as elongation factor P-TEFb). Lineage: Eukaryota; Metazoa; Chordata; Mammalia; Rodentia; Octodontidae. The record is from Rfam by way of RNAcentral.
GCAAGGGUUAUCAGGCUGCGACAUUUAGCACCCCAGUGAUCACCAGGGUUGGUUAAGCUGAUCUGGCUGGGCAAGUGUCUCCCUCAUCCCUCAGCACAGCAUGUGUGUCUGUCCAGCAUCUGCAUACUGGGCCAACAGAGGAGGACUGGUUCUUGGGUAAAGGGUUCCGUAGUAGCUGUAUUCCUCUGCUCAAACCUCCAAACAAGCUCUCAACAUUCAAUUGAAAAAUUUCUAUGCCACCAUUCAUAGGGAGUUUUACAUUGAUUAACUUAAAAGUUUAAACAAAAU